RNAcentral lists this ribosomal RNA (372 nucleotides) under uncultured organism. Its description in RNAcentral is "bacterial SSU rRNA". It matches the Rfam family "Bacterial small subunit ribosomal RNA", at positions 526 to 896 of the family's 1533-position model. The record is from RNAcentral.
CGUAGGUGGCAAGCGUUGUCCGGAAUUAUUGGGCGUAAAGCGCGCGCAGGCGGUUCCUUAAGUCUGAUGUGAAAGCCCCCGGCUCAACCGGGGAAGGUCAUUGGAAACUGGGGAGCUUGAGUGCAGAAGAGAAGAGCGGAAUUCCACGUGUAGCGGUGAAAUGCGUAGAGAUGUGGAGGAACACCAGUGGCGAAGGCGGCUCUUUGGUCUGUAACUGACGCUGAGGCGCGAAAGCGUGGGGAGCAAACAGGAUUAGAUACCCUGGUAGUCCACGCCGUAAACGAUGAGUGCUAAGUGUUAGAGGGUUUCCGCCCUUUAGUGCUGCAGCUAACGCAUUAAGCACUCCGCCUGGGGAGUACGGCCGCAAGGCUG